This 1014-nucleotide long non-coding RNA is filed under the name Erythranthe guttata (spotted monkey flower). RNAcentral describes it as "long non-coding RNA (EGUT_LNC001013)". Lineage: Eukaryota; Viridiplantae; Streptophyta; Magnoliopsida; Lamiales; Phrymaceae. The record is from RNAcentral.
CUCUCUCUCUCUCUCUCUCUCUCUCUCUCUCUCUCGUUCAACCCUUGAAUUGUUAGAUGCAGAGAUGUACGUACUUACAAUGAAUAGUAGAAUUUGUUGUUAAAAAAAAUUGAAGCGGAUUUGUUAUGAUAUUGUGCUUGAUUGGUUGAUUUCAUAUAUAUAUAUAUAUAUUUAUAUAAUACAUGGAUAUAUAUUUUAUCAAUACAUGUUAGCAUCUUUAAUGAAAUAUUCUGCUGCAAAAUGAGAUCAACGAGUGCUUGAGUAUGUUUAACAACUAUUUAAGAAAAGGCGUUAAUUUAGGUAAGUGUUCGCGUUGGAUAGAUUAUUGAUUGAGCUGUUUGUUCGCUAUCACAAAGUGCUCGAUUUUUUUCAUUUGUAAAUAUGAAAAUGUUCUUCAAGAUGUGAAUUGUCAUCUAUUGUUCAUUUGUUUUGCAUUGUUUGUUCUAUGUGAUAACAGGUUUUGGUUUUUUCUAUAUGGACCAAGAUCUUGGACAUAAUCGAUUACUAUUUUAGUGAAAGAUUCAUGGUUUGUUUCCUCUUGAAGAACAUUCAUGGUUUGUUUCCUCUUGAAACAUUUUCUAUCGUGUGCUAAUUUGAUACAUUUGCAGUCUAGGAGGAUUUAUGUAUCUAUUACACACUAUGAUUGUUCAUAGCCUUCUAUAAAAAUGAAUGAGAUUUUGAAUAAAGCAAACUGAUAAAACCUCAAAGCUCUUAAUCUCUUGAUCUUCUGGAAAACCAAGUUGCUCCAAAUCCAUUUGUAAUUCCCUAUCAUUUACAGGUUCUUAUAGAGAAUCUUUGGUGUUUGCACUUGUUGAUCAGAUGUUAUUUCAUUCUCUUUAGUAAGCUUUACAGUGUGUUAAUCAUUUGUUUUUGUUAUUCAUGCAGAAUGAUGCUCAUGGCACCAUGUUACAUGAUUUUGGAAACUGAAGUUGGUUGGUAUCGUGUUUGUAUGAAGGUUAAUGAUCAGUGUUUUUAUUUACCUUUUGAAUAGUUAAGUCAUUUUUUGAUCAUCUC